GAUGAACGCUGGCGGCGUGCCUAAUACAUGCAAGUCGAGCGAACGGACGAGAAGCUUGCUUUUCUGAUGUUAGCGGCGGACGGGUGAGUAACACGUGGAUAACCUACCUAUAAGACUGGGAUAACUUCGGGAAACCGGAGCUAAUACCGGAUAAUAUUUUGAUCCGCAUGGUUCAAAAGUGAAAGACGGUCUUGCUGUCACUUAUAGAUGGAUCCGCGCUGCAUUAGCUAGUUGGUAAGGUAACGGCUUACCAAGGCAACGAUGCAUAGCCGACCUGAGAGGGUGAUCGGCCACACUGGAACUGAGACACGGUCCAGACUCCUACGGGAGGCAGCAGUAGGGAAUCUUCCGCAAUGGGCGAAAGCCUGACGGAGCAACGCCGCGUGAGUGAUGAAGGUCUUCGGAUCGUAAAACUCUGUUAUUAGGGAAGAACAUAUGUGUAAGUAACUGUGCACAUCUUGACGGUACCUAAUCAGAAAGCCACGGCUAACUACGUG
Molecule: ribosomal RNA, 497 nt
Filed under: uncultured bacterium
Lineage: Bacteria
Description: partial 16S ribosomal RNA
Rfam family: Bacterial small subunit ribosomal RNA
Source: RNAcentral